RNAcentral lists this long non-coding RNA (657 nucleotides) under Homo sapiens (human). RNAcentral's name for it is "non-protein coding lnc-IFT80-4:5". The record is from RNAcentral. Lineage: Eukaryota; Metazoa; Chordata; Mammalia; Primates; Hominidae.
AACUCUUAGAAGUCACUAUGGUGACGGGGAGGUACCAGGUAUUUGAGAGCAAUCGCCACCGCUUUCCUGGAACUUGAGUAAAUACAAUCAAGUGGCAUCUUAAAUUUUUGCUGGAAGUGGAGUCAUGAGACUAAAGAUAUCUCUUUUAAAAGAACCAAAGCAUCAAGAAUUAGUAAGCUGUGUGGGCUGGACUACUGCUGAAGAGCUGUAUUCAUGUAGUGAUGAUCACCAGAUAGUGAAGUGGAACUUGUUAACCAGUGAAACAACUCAAAUAGUAAAGCUUCCUGAUGAUAUUUACCCUAUUGAUUUUCACUGGUUUCCAAAAAGUUUGGGUGUAAAGAAACAAACCCAGGCAGAAAGCUUUGUCCUCACAAGUUCUGAUGGUAAAUUUCAUCUGAUUUCCAAGUUAGGAAGAGUGGAAAAAAGUGUAGAAGCUCACUGUGGAGCAGUACUUGCAGGAAGAUGGAAUUAUGAAGGAACAGCAUUAGUUACAGUUGGAGAAGAUGGACAAAUAAAAAUUUGGUCAAAGACUGGGAUGCUUAGAUCAACUUUAGCUCAGCAAGUGGAAAGCUCAUGAUGGCAUUAUUUUAAAAGUAGAUUGGAACUCGGUCAAUGAUCUUAUUUUAUCUGCUGGUGAAGACUGUAAAUAUAAGGUAU